This is a small nuclear RNA of Vitis vinifera (wine grape), 161 nucleotides long. It matches the Rfam family "U1 spliceosomal RNA". Rfam says of the family: U1 is a small nuclear RNA (snRNA) component of the spliceosome (involved in pre-mRNA splicing). Its 5' end forms complementary base pairs with the 5' splice junction, thus defining the 5' donor site of an intron. NCBI's taxonomy places the organism in Eukaryota, Viridiplantae, Streptophyta, Magnoliopsida, Vitales, Vitaceae. The record is from Rfam.
AUACUUACCUGGACGGGGUCAAUGGCUGAUCAAGAAGAGCCAUGGCCUAGGUUAGUGACCUCCAUUGCACUUUGGAGGGGCACUCGCCUAAGAUCUGCCCAAGUGGCAGAGUCUACGUCAUAAUUUGUGGUAGUGGGGGUUCGCGUUCGCGCGGCCCCUAC